Molecule: ribosomal RNA, 494 nt
Filed under: uncultured bacterium
Lineage: Bacteria
Description: partial 16S ribosomal RNA
Rfam family: Bacterial small subunit ribosomal RNA
Source: RNAcentral
GACGAACGCUGGCGGCGUGCUUAACACAUGCAAGUCGAACGGUGAAGCGCCUUCCUUUUUGGUGGGUGUGGAUGAGUGGCGAACGGGUGAGUAACACGUGAGUAACCUGCCCCCUUCUUCUGGAUAACCGCAUGAAAGUGUGGCUAAUACGGGAUAUUCUGGGUCUGUCGCAUGAUGGGUCUGGGAAAGAUAUUGUUUCGGUGGGGGAUGGGCUCGCGGCCUAUCAGCUUGUUGGUGGGGUGAUGGCCUACCAAGGCGGUGACGGGUAGCCGGCCUGAGAGGGUGGACGGUCACACUGGGACUGAGACACGGCCCAGACUGCGACGGGAGGCAGCAGUGGGGAAUAUUGCACAAUGGGCGCAAGCCUGAUGCAGCGACGCCGCGUGAGGGAUGGAGGCCUGCGGGUUGUGAACCUCUUUCGCCAGUGAAGCAGGCCUGCCUCGUUUGUGGGUGGGUUGACGGUAGCUGGAUAAGAAGCGCCGGCUAACUACGUG